AUGGUGAUGGUAGGCAGGAAUGAGCUACCAGGGUUGGAGGGGAGCUUCUCCAACCACCUUUUUGCUGCUGGAGAAAAGCCUUUAUCUGAUGUGCUAGAUAAUGGCCACAGCUGGAGAAGACACAUCAGAUGGUUGAGACCAGAGGGCAGGAAUGAUGCCGAGAUGUCUAUCCUUGGAUGCUCAAAUUGUAGGUUUUGUCUGCGGAAACUGUCAACCACAUCAGCGGACGUACAAGGUGCUUUUCCCUGAGGUUUGACUGGAAGGACCAGGUGGUUUUAUGCUUGCUCUUUUUGCAGCUGGAAGACGGCUCAGCUUGUCAGUUGACCAGGAGGAAGCUUCAGCUGGACUUCCUAGCCCGCACACCGCACACCACGAGAACCCUCCCUUAAUUUUCCGAAGUCAUACAAGAGCUCCAGCCAGCGUCACGUUGGCUGCACGGAAACUGUGACACUCUCGAAACUUCGGACGGACCCUUUGAGUAAGGCACCAGCUGUCUGACACGACAGAUCUGCAUUGCAGAAGGCAGAUGUGGCAAAGAGCCUCGUAGGUAUGCACCUGCCCUCCCUGCAGCACUCACGGAGCGUGCAAUUACACUGCGGAGGUGUAGUGUAACCUCUGUUAUGCAAAGCACCUCUUGCACGAUGGUUAUCAUUCGUAAGCCUGUGCGCUAUAAAUCAUGCACUGUAAUACGCUUUCUCAUUCAAAUAACUUACUAAUUUUAUAAUUUACUGUUGCUGCAUGGUGUUGCAGGGAAACUUAACAUGACACAUGAAAAUGCCAGGAAAUGGAUGACAGAAUGGGAUUACUUGGCAUGGCGCAAGGGCCCUGCCUUGACAGUUUUGUGAUCUCUAGGUUAAGGAAAGGGUGUUUGAUUUUUAACUUAAUUCCUUUGAGAAUUUGGCUUUUUAGGCCUUCUUGGGGGAAAAAAAAAGUGGCCACAGCAUAAGUCUUCAUGAACUAAGCAGGUUCAGGACAGGAUUUAGGGUUAUCCAUGGGAGUUACAGAUGGAGCAAGGUAACUGAAGCUGCUGUCUCCUGCUGGCUUUCUGUCAGCUGAAAACUGACCCAGCUACUCAGCAGCACAGAAGUCUCCAGGUGCAGAGAGGAGAUGGGCUUAGACAGUGCUAUUCACACAGCUAUCUAGAAAUUCAUCUCAAAUUGAAGGUACUCCUAUCAACAAAGCAAGCUAAGAUGACACAUGGAGAGUCACAGCCUGAGUCAUGCUGCCAGAUCAUCCCUGUGAAGCUGAUGGAAAUGCUGCUUGUCACUGCAGACACAGUGCACUGGUACUGGGGAUGCUCCUGACAAACUGCACAACCUUAUCUUGGCUGUGGGUACUGAUAUGACCAGCAGUAUUAUGAUUUCACUGCAGGAAAGUACCCUGGUGAUCCUCAAACUUGUUCACUGGGGGAUUCCCAACCUCUCCCUAGUACCUUUCACACGCAUGUUGGCAUAUUUUUGCUAGCUGUACAGCUGUCAAAGCUGUCUUUCUUCCAGCUGUUCCACUAGUCACAGGGUGCAGGAUGAUUACAGAGUAUUGGUACGGAGUCUGUGUAUGAGCUGUCCCAACCAUACUGACAGCUCCAUGAAGUGGCUCCAACCAUCUUUUCACUCUUUUCCCUGUCUCCAGUUACCGCAGUGGUGGGUGGUGAGGCACCGGGGGGUGAGGCACUGGCACAGGUUGCCGAGAGAAGCUGUGGAGGCCCUGGCAGUGUUCAAGGACAGGGUGGAUGGGGCUUUGGGUGUCUCUCUUUAAUCUAGAGAUGUCCCUGUCCAUGGCAGGGGGGUGGAACUAGGCGUCCUUUAAGGUCCCUUCCAACUGAAACCCUUCUGUGAUUCUCAGUGUAAUGCUUCAACAGGAAGCCAGGCAACACGACUUUCAUUAAUUUCUGAAAUAUAAAAAAAUCUGCCUUUACGCACAGCAGCCAAGCACAAAAUCGUGAACACCCUUGGAAGGUCUCAGUAUACCAAAUCACCCAAUCAUGAGCAGAAACCUGACUGCACGCUUGGCAGUGAUUAUGACACUUUUGAUCUACGAUCUGGAAAGCAGUUCGUGAUGAAGUAACUCAUUCAAGGUCAGGCCUGGAGCCAGUGGUAAGGACUGGCAUCAGAGGUGUGAAGACGGCACUUUACAGAUGAAACAAAGCACACUGCAUGUUUUCAGUUUUACCCCUCACUCCUGAGCAAAUAACAUCGUCAGAAUUGCCAGUCCCUCAGACUACAAUUGGCACAUGUUAAGAAAAUCUUGUGGGUACCAACAGUAACACAUACAUCAGAAGAACCCACUGGACAUUUUCCUCAAAUUAGUCUGUUCUUCUGUGAGGUACUUACAGAGUUUAUUUCCUAUAUAUUAGUAACUUUUUUUUUUUUUUUUUUUCAAAAUUGAACAAAUCGAACCCUUUGCCUUUAGAUUUUACAGACCAUCAUAAACUGGAGUCACUGGUGUUUACCAAGAUUUGUUAAAGAUCACAGUUCGGAAAAUGUUUUACUUAACAUUUACAGUUUCAGUGAUACUACACUUCAGCAAACAAUGGAGGGCAGUUUUUCAGUAGUUAAUCUUUUAUGGUACUUUCAUGUCAGUCCAAAACAAAGCCACCCUCUGUGCUCGGUCAGGUGUGGAACAAGAAACCAAACAGAUGACUAACUAAAGUCAGAAGAAAGUUACAGCAAAAAUGCCCACAGACCCAUAGAUAUUUUGAAACGUGAGAUUCCUGGGCUAAACACUGUUAUAUUCAGCCCAGUCUCACACCUGCUCCAGCAGUGACCAGCAUUCAUUGUUGCUGAGGAGGGAAUAAACACCUGGCUGGUGUGGAAACGCUUAAUGGG
This 2825-nucleotide long non-coding RNA is filed under the name Anas platyrhynchos platyrhynchos (common mallard). RNAcentral describes it as "lncRNA (ENSAPLG00000028330.1)". The record is from RNAcentral. Lineage: Eukaryota; Metazoa; Chordata; Aves; Anseriformes; Anatidae.